This 440-nucleotide ribosomal RNA is filed under the name uncultured bacterium. Its description in RNAcentral is "partial 16S ribosomal RNA". It matches the Rfam family "Bacterial small subunit ribosomal RNA", at positions 338 to 795 of the family's 1533-position model. The record is from RNAcentral.
CCUACGGGAGGCAGCAGUGGGGAAUAUUGCACAAUGGGGGAAACCCUGAUGCAGCGACGCCGCGUGAGUGAAGAAGUAAUUCGUUAUGUAAAGCUCUAUCAGCAGGGAAGAAAAUGACGGUACCUGAGUAAGAAGCCACGGCUAACUACGUGCCAGCAGCCGCGGUAAUACGUAGGGGGCAAGCGUUAUCCGGAUUUACUGGGUGUAAGGGGAGCGUAGACGGCAGUGCAAGUCUGGAGUGAAAGGCCGGGGCUCAACCCCCGGACUGCUCUGGAAACUGUACGGCUGGAGUGCAGGAGAGGUAAGUGGAAUGCCUAGUGUAGCGGUGAAAUGCGUAGAUAUUAGGCGGAACACCAGUGGCGAAGGCGGCUUACUGGACUGUAACUGACGUUGAGGCUCGAAAGCGUGGGGAGCAAACAGGAUUAGAUACCCCAGUAGUC